UACGAGGGGAGCUAGCGUUGUUCGGAAUUACUGGGCGUAAAGGGCGUGUAGGCGGUACCAUAAGUCAGAUGUGAAAGCCCCAGGCUUAACCUGGGAGGUGCAUUUGAUACUGUGGAACUAGAGAUCGAGAGAGGAAAGUGGAAUUACGAGUGUAGAGGUGAAAUUCGUAGAUAUUCGUAAGAACACCAGUGGCGAAGGCGGCUUUCUGGCUCGAUACUGACGCUAAGGCGCGAAAGCGUGGGGAGCAAACAGG
Molecule: ribosomal RNA, 253 nt
Filed under: uncultured bacterium
Lineage: Bacteria
Description: partial 16S ribosomal RNA
Rfam family: Bacterial small subunit ribosomal RNA
Source: RNAcentral